UUGAACCUUCUGGAUACCUACGAUGCUUCCCU
Molecule: non-coding RNA, 32 nt
Filed under: Mus musculus (house mouse)
Lineage: Eukaryota; Metazoa; Chordata; Mammalia; Rodentia; Muridae
Source: RNAcentral